This is a non-coding RNA of Schistosoma rodhaini, 48 nucleotides long. NCBI's taxonomy places the organism in Eukaryota, Metazoa, Platyhelminthes, Trematoda, Strigeidida, Schistosomatidae. The record is from Rfam.
AUCCAGCUGACGAGUCCCAAACAGGACGAAACGCGCGUCAAACUAGAU